This 77-nucleotide transfer RNA is filed under the name Micrococcus lylae. RNAcentral describes it as "tRNA-Met". It matches the Rfam family "tRNA". From Rfam's summary of the family: Transfer RNA (tRNA) molecules are approximately 80 nucleotides in length. Their secondary structure includes four short double-helical elements and three loops (D, anti-codon, and T loops). Lineage: Bacteria; Bacillati; Actinomycetota; Actinomycetes; Micrococcales; Micrococcaceae. RNAcentral also lists the same sequence under 1 other name. The record is from RNAcentral.
GGGGCGUUAGCUCAGUCGGUCAGAGCAGGGGACUCAUAAUCCCUUGGUCACGGGUUCAAGUCCCGUACGCCCUACCU